This 795-nucleotide ribosomal RNA is filed under the name Campylobacter jejuni. Its description in RNAcentral is "bacterial SSU rRNA". It matches the Rfam family "Bacterial small subunit ribosomal RNA", at positions 738 to 1533 of the family's 1533-position model. The record is from RNAcentral. Lineage: Bacteria; Pseudomonadati; Campylobacterota; Epsilonproteobacteria; Campylobacterales; Campylobacteraceae.
AACUGACGCUAAGGCGCGAAAGCGUGGGGAGCAAACAGGAUUAGAUACCCUGGUAGUCCACGCCCUAAACGAUGUACACUAGUUGUUGGGGUGCUAGUCAUCUCAGUAAUGCAGCUAACGCAUUAAGUGUACCGCCUGGGGAGUACGGUCGCAAGAUUAAAACUCAAAGGAAUAGACGGGGACCCGCACAAGCGGUGGAGCAUGUGGUUUAAUUCGAAGAUACGCGAAGAACCUUACCUGGGCUUGAUAUCCUAAGAACCUUUUAGAGAUAAGAGGGUGCUAGCUUGCUAGAACUUAGAGACAGGUGCUGCACGGCUGUCGUCAGCUCGUGUCGUGAGAUGUUGGGUUAAGUCCCGCAACGAGCGCAACCCACGUAUUUAGUUGCUAACGGUUCGGCCGAGCACUCUAAAUAGACUGCCUUCGUAAGGAGGAGGAAGGUGUGGACGACGUCAAGUCAUCAUGGCCCUUAUGCCCAGGGCGACACACGUGCUACAAUGGCAUAUACAAUGAGACGCAAUACCGCGAGGUGGAGCAAAUCUAUAAAAUAUGUCCCAGUUCGGAUUGUUCUCUGCAACUCGAGAGCAUGAAGCCGGAAUCGCUAGUAAUCGUAGAUCAGCCAUGCUACGGUGAAUACGUUCCCGGGUCUUGUACUCACCGCCCGUCACACCAUGGGAGUUGAUUUCACUCGAAGCCGGAAUACUAAACUAGUUACCGUCCACAGUGGAAUCAGCGACUGGGGUGAAGUCGUAACAAGGUAACCGUAGGAGAACCUGCGGUUGGAUCACCUCCUUUCUA